AAUGAACGCUGGCGGCAGGCCUAACACAUGCAAGUCGAGCGGAUGAAGAGAGCUUGCUCCUGGACUCAGCGGCGGACGGGGGAGUAAUGCCCAGGAAUCCGCCUGGUAGAGGGGGAUAACGUUUCGAAAGGAACGCUAAUACCGCAUGCGACCUACGGGAGAAAGCAGGGGACCUGAGGGCCUUACGCUAUCAGAUGAGCCUAGGUCGGAUUAGCUAGUUGGUGAGGUAAUGGCUCACCAAGGGGACGAUCCGUAACUGGUCUGAGAGGAUGGUCAGUCACACUGGUACUGAGACACGGUCCAGACUCCUACGGGAGGCAGCAGUGGGGAAUAUUGGGCAAUGGGCGAAAGCCUGAUCCAGCCAUGCCGCGUGUGUGAAGAAGGUCUUCGGAUUGUAAAGCACUUUAAGUUGGGAGGAAGGGUUGUAGAUUAAUACUCUGCAAUUUUGACGUUACCGACAGAAUAAGCACCGGCUAACUCUGUGCCAGCAGCCGCGGUAA
RNAcentral lists this ribosomal RNA (500 nucleotides) under uncultured bacterium. RNAcentral's name for it is "partial 16S ribosomal RNA". It matches the Rfam family "Bacterial small subunit ribosomal RNA", at positions 29 to 523 of the family's 1533-position model. The record is from RNAcentral.